This 788-nucleotide ribosomal RNA is filed under the name uncultured bacterium. RNAcentral describes it as "bacterial SSU rRNA". It matches the Rfam family "Bacterial small subunit ribosomal RNA", at positions 704 to 1503 of the family's 1533-position model. The record is from RNAcentral.
GAGCCCGAAUUGCGGAAGGCCAGCUGACGAGUCUUAACUGACGGCUAAGCCGAAGGUGCGGGUAUCGAACAGGAAUUAGAUACCUUGGUAGUCGGCACGGUAAACGAUGGAUGCCCGCUGUUGGCGAUAUACUGUCAGCGGCCAAGCGAAAGCGUUAAGCAUCCCACCUGGGGAGUACGCCGGCAACGGUGAAACUCAAAGGAAUUGACGGGGGCCCGCACAAGCGGAGGAACAUGUGGUUUAAUUCGAUGAUACGCGAGGAACCUUACCCGGGCUUGAACUGCAGCGGAAGGAUACAGAGAUGUUGACGCCCUUCGGGGCCGCUGUGGAGGUGCUGCAUGGUUGUCGUCAGCUCGUGCCGUGAGGUGUCGGCUUAAGUGCCAUAACGAGCGCAACCCUUUUCAUUAGUUGCCAUCAGGUAAUGCUGGGCACUCUGGUGAUACUGCCACCGUAAGGUGUGAGGAAGGUGGGGAUGACGUCAAAUCAGCACGGCCCUUACGUCCGGGGCUACACACGUGUUACAAUGGGUGGUACAGAGAGCCGGCCGUACGCAAGUACGGUCCAAUCAAGAAAGCCAUCCUCAGUUCGGACUGGGGUCUGCAACCCGACCCCACGAAGCUGGAUUCGCUAGUAAUCGCGCAUCAGCCAUGGCGCGGUGAAUACGUUCCCGGGCCUUGUACACACCGCCCGUCAAGCCAUGAAAGCCGGGGGCGCUUGAAGUCCGUGACCGCAAGGAUCGGCCUAGAGCGAAACUGGUAAUUGGGGCUAAGUAGUAACAAGGUAACCGU